UGUCUGGUAACGCCAGACACCAACCAAUACUUGGUGUCUGGUAACGCCAGACACCAACCAAUACUUGGUGUCUGGUAACGCCAGACACCAAUCAAUAAUAAUAAAAAAAUAAGCUUAUGGUAACUGGCCGGGGUACUUGAUAUUAUAUAUGAAUAUAUACUGAGUAAUAUAUAUACUUGUAUAAACUGUAUUUACAUAUUAAAGAUCUCAGUAAAUCA
Procambarus clarkii (red swamp crayfish) is the source of this 218-nucleotide non-coding RNA. The record is from RefSeq and is a predicted model, not a curated record. Lineage: Eukaryota; Metazoa; Arthropoda; Malacostraca; Decapoda; Cambaridae.